AGAGUUUGAUCCUGGCUCAGAACGAACGCUGGCGGCGUGGAUAAGACAUGCAAGUCGAACGAGAGAAUUGCUAGCUUGCUAAUAAUUCUCUAGUGGCGCACGGGUGAGUAACACGUGAGUAACCUGCCCCCGAGAGCGGGAUAGCCCUGGGAAACUGGGAUUAAUACCGCAUAGUAUCGAAAGAUUAAAGCAGCAAUGCGCUUGGGGAUGGGCUCGCGGCCUAUUAGUUAGUUGGUGAGGUAACGGCUCACCAAGGCGAUGACGGGUAGCCGGUCUGAGAGGAUGUCCGGCCACACUGGAACUGAGACACGGUCCAGACACCUACGGGUGGCAGCAGUCGAGAAUCAUUCACAAUGGGGGAAACCCUGAUGGUGCGACGCCGCGUGGGGGAAUGAAGGUCUUCGGAUUGUAAACCCCUGUCAUGUGGGAGCAAAUUAAAAAGAUAGUACCACAAGAGGAAGAGACGGCUAACUCUGUGCCAGCAGCCGCGGUAAUACAGAGGUCUCAAGCGUUGUUCGGAAUCACUGGGCGUAAAGCGUGCGUAGGCUGUUUCGUAAGUCGUGUGUGAAAGGCGCGGGCUCAACCCGCGGACGGCACAUGAUACUGCGAGACUAGAGUAAUGGAGGGGGAACCGGAAUUCUCGGUGUAGCAGUGAAAUGCGUAGAUAUCGAGAGGAACACUCGUGGCGAAGGCGGGUUCCUGGACAUUAACUGACGCUGAGGCACGAAGGCCAGGGGAGCGAAAGGGAUUAGAUACCCCUGUAGUCCUGGCAGUAAACGGUGCACGCAAGGUGUGCGGGGAAUCGACCCCCCGCCGGGCCGGAGCUAACGCGUUAAGCCGUCCCGCCCGGGGAGUACGGUCGCAAGAUAAAAAUUCAAAGAAAUUGACGGGGACCCGCACAAGCGGUGGAGUAUGUGGGCUUAAUUCGAUGCAACGCGAAGAACCUUACCUGGGCUUGACAUGUAAUGAACAACAAAAGAAAGCAUGCGACUCUUCGGAGGCGUUACACAGGUGCUGCAUGGCCGUUGUCAGCUCGUGUCGUGAGAUGUUUGGUUAAGUCCAGCAACGAGCGCAACCCCUGUUGCCAGUUACUAGCACGUGAAGGUGGGGACUCUGGCGAGACUGCCCAGAUCAACUGGGAGGAAGGUGGGGACGACGUCAGGUCAGUAUGGCCCUUAUGCCCAGGGCUGCACACGUACUACAAUGCCCAGUACAGAGGGGGCCGAAGCCGCGAGGCGGAGGAAAUCCUAAAAACUGGGCCCAGUUCGGACUGUAGGCUGCAACCCGCCUACACGAAGCCGGAAUCGCUAGUAAUGGCGCAUCAGCUACGGCGCCGUGAAUACGUUCCCGGGUCUUGCACACACCGCCCGUCA
Molecule: ribosomal RNA, 1373 nt
Filed under: uncultured bacterium
Lineage: Bacteria
Description: bacterial SSU rRNA
Rfam family: Bacterial small subunit ribosomal RNA
Source: RNAcentral